GGGCCCGCACAAGCGGUGGAGCAUGUGGUUUAAUUCGACGCAACGCGAAGAACCUUACCUGGGCUCGAAAUGUACAGGAAUCCGGUGGAAACAUCGGCGCCCAGCAAUGGGCCUGUAUAUAGGUGCUGCAUGGCUGUCGUCAGCUCGUGUCGUGAGAUGUUGGGUUAAGUCCCGCAACGAGCGCAACCCUUACCCCCAGUUGCCACCAUUCAGUUGGGCACUCUGGUGGAACCGCCUCGGAUAACGGGGAGGAAGGUGGGGAUGACGUCAAGUCCUCAUGGCCUUUAUGUCCAGGGCUACACACGUGCUACAAUGGCCGGUACAAACCGUCGCAAACCCGCGAGGGGGAGCUAAUCGGAAAAAGCCGGCCUCAGUUCGGAUCGCAGUCUGCAACUCGACUGCGUGAAGCUGGAAUCGCUAGUAAUCGCGGAUCAGAAUGCCGCGGUGAAUACGUUCCCGGGCCUU
This 465-nucleotide ribosomal RNA is filed under the name uncultured bacterium. Its description in RNAcentral is "bacterial SSU rRNA". It matches the Rfam family "Bacterial small subunit ribosomal RNA", at positions 917 to 1382 of the family's 1533-position model. The record is from RNAcentral.